This 73-nucleotide transfer RNA is filed under the name Ixodes scapularis (black-legged tick). It matches the Rfam family "tRNA". Rfam says of the family: Transfer RNA (tRNA) molecules are approximately 80 nucleotides in length. The record is from Rfam by way of RNAcentral. Lineage: Eukaryota; Metazoa; Arthropoda; Arachnida; Ixodida; Ixodidae.
UCCUGGUUGGCUCAAUUGGUAGAGCACUCCACUGAAAAUGAAGAGGUCCCUGGUUCGAUACCAGUGCCGGGUG